Molecule: non-coding RNA, 1045 nt
Organism: Physcomitrium patens
Lineage: Eukaryota; Viridiplantae; Streptophyta; Bryopsida; Funariales; Funariaceae
Source: RefSeq, a predicted model, not a curated record
AUGUCAACAAAACAGCCUGAUGAGCUUCUCAGGGGCAACGUAGUGACUGCUUGAGAAUUGCAGAUUCAACAAUCGCUGCUGUUGCUCAUCAUGACAUCUCAGCACGAGGUCCUCCGGAACACGUGAGCGUGACGCUAUACAUUACCUCCUUGGAUGCAUAUACUUUCCAUCUUUCCAGCAGCUGUUUGUUCUCAUCAUUCAACUUCUGCGCUAUGACUGUUUGCUGGACAUGCCGAUCAAUCAGCUAUUGUUUCAGGGAUCUCGAACUAGGUUACGAUCCCCAGUCGCCGGUGAUAGUAAACAAUGGCCCUCUGUACGCCCGUACCCCAAUCAUAGCAGCACGCGUUCAUACCAGUCCACCUGCAGCAGCUAGGAUAUCAAUCUCUGCAGGAGAGACCAUCAGCGUGCUGCGAUGUAUAGAUACAAAGCUCCGACAACCGCAAUAGUUCGGAGUCCAUUCAAUGCACCGAUGAUGUGAUUGGGUCAGAAAAAAAGACCCUGAGUCCCCCCCCUGCCAUGCAUCUCUCGAUACCAUAACAUAUGGCUGUGCAAUGGGACUCCUGACACUGCAAUGCAUGUAUAAUCUGAUUUCUACUCAUGUCUUCCGUUCCGAAUUCCACUUAUCAUGAGAGGGUGGACUCCGAACCAUCUCAAUCGGCAUUUUUUGUCAUUUCUCCAAGGAGCUGAAAUGGGUGCUCACAAUUGAACUUGGAUAACAAGCGCUGUCUCUUGACAGAGCAAUUCGAUGACGCACAGCCACGAAUUUAGCAGCCAUUACAGAUGAAGUUCAGUCUCACGAGCAACAGAUGGAAAAAUGUGCAAAAUAUGUCCGACAAUGUGAAGCCCAAUGCCAACCCAACACUUUUUCGAGGGCUGUUUUUAGGUCUGGAUUCGUCAACAUGUCCAUUUGUGUGUGCAUUUUCUCAGCUUCCAGAGACAUGUCUGAGAAUCCAGAUCCCUUUUCAUCCCAUGUUCCUCUACCUUCCUUGCUGUCUUCUCUGCAUCCAAACCAAGUUAUUAAUAAAGCUCACUUGUUAUAAUCGUG